GAUCAUGGCUCAGAUUGAACGCUGGCGGCAUGCCUUACACAUGCAAGUCGAACGGUAACAGGUCUUCGGAUGCUGACGAGUGGCGAACGGGUGAGUAAUACAUCGGAACGUGCCCGAUCGUGGGGGAUAACGAAGCGAAAGCUUUGCUAAUACCGCAUAAGAUCUAAAGAUGAAAGCAGGGGACCACAAGGCCUUGCGCGAACGGAGCGGCCGAUGGCAGAUUAGGUAGUUGGUGGGA
Molecule: ribosomal RNA, 238 nt
Filed under: uncultured bacterium
Lineage: Bacteria
Description: partial 16S ribosomal RNA
Rfam family: Bacterial small subunit ribosomal RNA
Source: RNAcentral